CAGACAAAGGCACAGCCGGUGAAAACCGGUGUCGCAAAGCCAGAUGGGCCUAAACGGAGUUUUUUCUCCGCAUGGCAGCCGGUUGCCAA
Molecule: non-coding RNA, 89 nt
Filed under: Agathobaculum butyriciproducens
Lineage: Bacteria; Bacillati; Bacillota; Clostridia; Eubacteriales; Butyricicoccaceae
Description: Cyclic di-GMP-I riboswitch
Rfam family: c-di-GMP-I riboswitch aptamer
About the family: GEMM was predicted in a large-scale screen for bacterial structured RNA regulatory elements. Genes associated with GEMM are involved in a diverse array of functions, including chemotaxis regulation, signal transduction, secretion and chitin.
Source: RNAcentral